AGUGAAUAGAUACCCGGGUAGUCUACGCCGUAAACGAUGCGCACUAGGCACGAGGGUUCUGACGACCUCGUGCCGCAAAGAAAAAAACCGUAGAAGUGCGCCGCCUGGGGAGGUACGGCCGCAAGGACUAAAACUACAAAGGAAUUGACGGGGGCGUCACACAAGCGGUGGAGCAUGUGGAUCAAUUCGAAGCAACGCGAAGAACCUUACCUGGGUUUGACAUGCACGGAUGGUCUCGGUGAAAGCUGAGUAAUCUGCCUUCGGGUGAAACGUGCACAGGUGCUGCAUGGCUGUCGUCAGCUCGUGCUGUGAAGUGUCGGGUUUAAGUCCCUUAACGAGCGAAACCCUUGUCGCUAGUUACCAGCGGGUCAUGCCGGGGUACUCUAGCGAGACUGCCGGCGUUAAGCCGGAGGAAGGUGGGGACGGACGUCAA
RNAcentral lists this ribosomal RNA (433 nucleotides) under uncultured bacterium. RNAcentral describes it as "bacterial SSU rRNA". It matches the Rfam family "Bacterial small subunit ribosomal RNA", at positions 774 to 1188 of the family's 1533-position model. The record is from RNAcentral.